AAAGCGUGCGCAGGCGGUUAUAUAAGACAGAUGUGAAAUCCCCGGGCUCAACCUGGGAACUGCAUUUGUGACUGUAUAGCUGGAGUACGGCAGAGGGGGAUGGAAUUCCGCGUGUAGCAGUGAAAUGCGUAGAUAUGCGGAGGAACACCGAUGGCGAAGGCAAUCCCCUGGGCCUGUACUGACGCUCAUGCACGAAAGCGUGGGGAGCAAACAGGAUUAGAUACCCCAGU
RNAcentral lists this ribosomal RNA (230 nucleotides) under uncultured bacterium. RNAcentral's name for it is "partial 16S ribosomal RNA". It matches the Rfam family "Bacterial small subunit ribosomal RNA", at positions 562 to 791 of the family's 1533-position model. The record is from RNAcentral.